CAGGCUAGAUCUGCAGGACAAGAGUUUGCACCGCGUUCAUGCAGAACUGUGUUUCCUCUUCUGACCUGUCGCUCUUUGAGCUUUACAUCACCUCUCUGAAUUCUAAUUGCCUGGUGAAGGUCAGUGUGCCCAGUCUCAACUUUAACCAGGAUGUGCAACGGACUGCAGGUCAGGGCUUCACUGUGACUCUCCCCAAAACAAUUGAGCUGUCUGGCACCAGGAGGUCUUCAUUCAGGCAUCUGAUGACAUAACGGUUUCCUUGCUAAACUCAAAGCAGUUCACGGUGGAUACGUCCCUGGUCUACCCCAUGAACAAAAGGGGUACUGAAUAUUUUGUGUUCACCCCCACCAGCUCCCCUCCAUCCAUGCUGAAGGAGUCUGUUCCUUCGAGUGGUCCGGUUCAAAGGACAUUUGUACAGUGCUGGCAGUAAACAAGUUGUGGUUAUGGAUCCUUUUGAAAAUCCAUAAAUUCAAAGCCAAGGAGAUCUUACGGGAACACACAUACAUUCACAGCUUCACACUCAACCAAGAGUACAAAAUCCAGUUUCCAAAUGGUCUCAACAUUGUUGCUGACAAUGGAAUCCAGGUGUUUUUCUGUUUAAUGGUGUUCAAACAUCCCAUGGUGUCAUAUAUGACCCGUUUCUUAUAAAUGUUCUGCCCAACGACCAGUUUUGUUCUUCGUAUGCGCUUGAUGGGAUAGCUGGCUUUGACAUUCAAGCUCUUCUGAUUGUUUCUACCAAAGAACAAGCAGUGAUUCAUUUUGAUAGCUUGCCUUUACCUGGAAACCUUCAGUGGAGGGUCAUUAAAACUGUGAGUACUCUUAAGACUGAGCUGGUUUACCAACCUGGGGCAGGUGGGCACAAAUUAACCCAUCCAAAUGCUUCUUUUGGAGUCUAUAGUGUGGGAAAACAGCAAGUGAAUGGGUACGGAGCCCCAGCUGCAUGCAUUGAUCCAGUAGAAUUCCUAGCACGUCACUGUUGUAGUGAGGAUGAGGAGUGCCAGAUGAUGUGUGAAGAAACCUUUUGGAAUCUGUUGGACAACAGGUGGAUGGUUUGUGAUUUUAUCUUCUUUUGACCAUCAUGAUGGUUGAGUGAAGGUGAGACAGAGUUGCUAUGCUGGAAACUGACUUUGGUAUGCGUCUCUUUUAUCUGGGGCACGGAGUGCUGAUCUGCGUCUGACCAGUAGUUACUAUGAGCUGUGUGUGGCCUGUGUGGUAAUUUCAACGGUAACGGUGGAGAUGAGCUGAGAGACCCUGCUGGAAACCUUCUGCCCAGUCUGUACCAGAGGGCAAAGAGCUGGAGAGCAGAAGACAGUAUCACCUCAGUGUGUCAUGAUGCAUACGAGACCGACUGCUCUGCUUGCCCUCCUGAUCAACGUGCCCUCUACGAAACAGACAUUUCUGUGGUGUCCUGACAUAUAUAGGCCAGAAUGUGUUUAGUGCAUGUCAUGCUAAAGUGUACCCACAGGUGUUCCAGCAAAGCUGUGUGUACGAUCUCUUCUUCAAUUACGGAGACCGAAAACUUCUCUGUCAGGCUCUGGAGACAUACGUCCAACAGUGUCUUCAAGAGGGUGUCGUUAUUACAGAUUGGAGAGAAAGAUUUAAUUGAUCUAUGAGUUGCCCACCCAACAGUCAUUAUGAGGCCUGUCCGUCUUCGUGUCCAGCAACGUGUCCAUACCCAAAUCAGCAGCCGAAUUGCACUGAUACCUGUGUGGAAGCCUGUGAGUGUGACAGUAGAUUGUCCCACCAAUCAAUGUGGCUGCUUCUACGAAGGUGGCUACUGCCAGCAAGGCCAAACUUUCUUGGCAGAUGAGCAGUGCCAUUGGCUUUACGCAUGUGACAGUAACUUAAGUGCUUUGGUGUGUCGUUAUUCGUCCUGUGCUGUCUGUGAGAGCUGUACAGUUAAUGGAAGUCGCAGCUGCCAACCACUGAAUGCACUGUAUGCAUAGGCUCAUUAGACCCACAUUAUCACACAUUCGAACGAUUCCAUUUUGAGUUCCAGGGCACGUGUAUGUACCUGUUAGCAGCCCUGUGCAUUGAUAAUAUGAGUCUUGUACCUUUUAAUGUGACAGUGAUA
Long non-coding RNA from Carassius auratus (goldfish), 2074 nucleotides. RefSeq lists it as uncharacterized. NCBI's taxonomy places the organism in Eukaryota, Metazoa, Chordata, Actinopteri, Cypriniformes, Cyprinidae. The transcript is spliced from 4 exons. The record is from RefSeq and is a predicted model, not a curated record.